CGAAGCAAAUGGAGCGCACCAACAUCUUCGGUUGAGCUGAUAGCGUACUUGGAGGGCUCUCAAUCUGUCUAUCAGGACCUGCGGGCAUGAAACGUAGCGUCCCCAGGCAAAAGGGACGUCAGUACGAAUAAUGUACCAAGUAUGUGAGGCAUGGAAGCAUAAACAAGAACAGUAAUGUAAAGAGAGACAGAUGAGAUACAACCUGUAACAUUUGAGUGCCUUUGGGGGCUACUAAUAUGAAAUGUAUAAUACAUAUAUAUACAUAAACUUUUUUUUUAAACAUUCGCCUCUAUGUUCAUCAUCAUCAUCAUAUCGUACUCGGCCUCAAAGAGGACUCGGUAAAAACAUACCUGGCCAUCAAUAGGCUCGGUAGAAUCGUACCCAGCCACAUGGAGCUCGGUAAUCCAACUGAUCAGUGGUUGCACAAUAGGUGUCGUACCCGGCCGACUAUAGCGCGGCUCGGUAGAGUAAAAUAUAUACAUAUAUAUUCUGAACCUUUCGGAGUGACAUAAGGUCGAUAUUUUCCGUACACAUUAUUAUGAAUAACUCUUGAUCAAGAAUCUUAUAAGAGUCAGAAGUACCAACAACAUUGAUAACAUAAGGAUAAGAGAAACAACAUCAACAUUAAUCGCUCCAUAAGAAGGGAAACAAUGUAAGUACUGCUAGCUUCUAAGAGUGGAGUAUCUUUGGGAGCUCGUUCAUUACGUUAUGUACAAUCGGAGUCAUGCAAAAUAAGGAAAUGAAUAGUAGUAGGAGAUAAUAGACGAUGAAGCAUAAGUUAAUAGCCUAAAUCUUCAAAAAUAUAUUAGAUACCUUAGUAUCUGAUCAUUGUCAUGGCUAAGUUGUGAUCCUAAAUAGAUGGGACCACACAGAUUGCUAUUAAACUAUGUCCAUGAGACAAGCAUAAUAGAUGCUAUGGAAAUCUCUUAAAACAAAUCAUGUACCAAAGGCCAUAAGACAUAGUGG
RNAcentral lists this long non-coding RNA (966 nucleotides) under Nicotiana tabacum (common tobacco). RNAcentral describes it as "long non-coding RNA (NTAB_LNC006322)". The record is from RNAcentral. Lineage: Eukaryota; Viridiplantae; Streptophyta; Magnoliopsida; Solanales; Solanaceae.